Numida meleagris (helmeted guineafowl) is the source of this 1066-nucleotide long non-coding RNA. RefSeq lists it as uncharacterized. The record is from RefSeq and is a predicted model, not a curated record. NCBI's taxonomy places the organism in Eukaryota, Metazoa, Chordata, Aves, Galliformes, Numididae. The transcript has 3 exons.
UGCAACAUGAGGGACGCUUUGGGUGGGAGCAAAGAUCAGCGGUAGCCAGUGCCCCGGAGCAGAUGCUCAGGAGGAGAUAAAAGCAGCCCUGUGGCUGCAUGUCCGCCCGGCUUCCGGCGAUCUGGAGCUCGGCGACUUCCUGAACCACAGCUUUUAUCUGAGAGUUUUCUCUUCCGUGAAUGUUUUUUGUUUCUUUUUGAACCCAUCUCAGCUUUUGGCAUGAAGAGCAUCCUGUGACAAUGGGUUCUGCAGCGCAAUUGCUCGCUUUAUGAAAAUGUUCUUUUGUGACUUUUGAAACCUGUUAUGAGACUUGCUAUGAAACUGCAGAAACACUGAGCAGCAGAACUGGAACUAUUUGGUGCAUGUAAUUGAGAAAUGCUACGCUGCAGAAACCUGCAGAAUGCACGGCCACAAAACACGUUUUGCAUCUUUAUUUCUCUUGCUGGUAUUAGCAGAGAUAGGAGAUCCUACUGAGGAACACUGUUCCUCCCAGAUGGUUAAACAGUCUAGAAAUGUUAAUGCAGUGAAAGGCAGCCUGUAUUUGAGUUAUUCAUUUUUUCAUUUUUUACUUAUUAUUUCUUUUUUUUCAUUUAUUUUUAGUGAUGCAGUACAGGAAAUGAAGCCUGUGUUUGGAUUACACCAUGCUCAGAGGAGUAGGACUGCUACUUUUCUAAAUCAGAGACAUUUCACACCCCUUCACCAAUAACAACCAUCCUUUGAAGUGGUUCAGAAAUAUCUGAGGAACAGCGAUAUUAAUUUGCUGAUGGCUUCCUUUCCUUAUCUAUUUCUCUGAAACACAGAGAUGCUGUCGGCUCAUGACUUCAAAGAGUGAAACCAAAGCGCAGUGGAACUAAGCUGUUACCAAGCUCCUGAUGUGUCACACUGGCCUGAAGACGUGCUGGCACUGCUGCUGCACAGGGACUUCAUGGAGGCCCACGUCUCUGCAAAAUACCGUACGUGAACUCAGGCUCCAACUGAAUCUCGUCUCCUGGGAGAACCAGCUUCAUUUCAAAGGAUAAUUCAGAAAGGAGAAAACUUGACUAAUAAAGAAUAACUUAGUUAACAA